Chiloscyllium plagiosum (whitespotted bambooshark) is the source of this 915-nucleotide long non-coding RNA. RefSeq lists it as uncharacterized. The record is from RefSeq and is a predicted model, not a curated record. NCBI's taxonomy places the organism in Eukaryota, Metazoa, Chordata, Chondrichthyes, Orectolobiformes, Hemiscylliidae.
GUUCAUAGAGCUCCAGAUGGAAUGCCAUGCUCCAAGGAAUUCUUGUGCGUGUCUCUGUUUGGCUUGUCCUAGGAUGGAUGUAUUUUCCCAGUCAAAGUGAUGUCCUUCCUCAUCUACAUGUUUGCCAAUCUAAAAUAUCCUAUACUCUGGUCAGCUCCAGGAUGUAUUCUUCUAUGAAACUAUCCUAAAUACAGUCUGUUAACACAUCCACACCAGAGAAGGUCUGUGCAUGAAAGACUGCUGAUUACAAAACUGCACAAUCAAAGAAGAGCUGAAAGGUUUCAACACCCAACUGCAAUAGCAGUGCAAAAACACCCUCAAGUUCUUAAAGUUUGGAAAUAAGUAGAAAAAAGAGGAAUAUAUCAUCAUGAUUACUGCAAAGUAUUGAUCCACUUCUUCAAAAAGACCCAUGCAAUAUCUGACAAGAAUGAACAAAAAUCUCUUCUGAGAUUGCUGUUUGCACUGGAAGAUUUGCAGUCAGGAAUGCUGAAGCUUCAAGUGAAGUUACUGCAAAAUACCUUGGACAAAAAUACAAAAUGGGUGGAUCUUCAGCACUGAUUACCAGCACAUCCAAUGGUAUCUUUGGACACUAGGCAAAGACAUAAGAAAUCAGUCAGGAGAAAAUCUCAAGAGCUGCAAGUCUCUUACCCUCUCAGUUGAAGGUUUUCAUAACCUGAAAGCAUUUCUAAAUUUCAAUAUUUCUGACAACCUAAGAAAACUUGAAAAACUGAACUGUGGCCACUUUCCAAAGACUUGGUUCCAACAUGAUUUCAGCUGAAGAUCCUCCAUCAGUCUACUAUUGUCAGUGGUUUGAUGUCAUGGACAGAAAAUAGUAGACUGUGAAAAGUAAAUAGAUUCUAUCCAUUUUUUUCAAACUCUUACCUGACCUUUUUUCCUUUUGUCUUUUUAAUUCCC